Molecule: ribosomal RNA, 261 nt
Filed under: uncultured archaeon
Lineage: Archaea
Description: partial 16S ribosomal RNA
Rfam family: Archaeal small subunit ribosomal RNA
Source: RNAcentral
CAGCCGUAAACUAUGCGCGUUAGGUGUAUCGGUGACCACGAGUCACCGAGGUGCCGAAGGGAAACCGUGAAACGUGCCGCCUGGGAAGUACGGUCGCAAGGCUGAAACUUAAAGGAAUUGGCGGGGGAGCACCGCAACGGGAGGAGCGUGCGGUUUAAUUGGAUUCAACACCGGAAAACUCACCAAGGGCGACUGUUACAUGAAAGCCAGGCUAAUGACCUUGCUUGAUUUUCAGAGAGGAGGUGCAUGGCGUAGACGUCU